RNAcentral lists this ribosomal RNA (497 nucleotides) under uncultured bacterium. Its description in RNAcentral is "partial 16S ribosomal RNA". It matches the Rfam family "Bacterial small subunit ribosomal RNA", at positions 28 to 507 of the family's 1533-position model. The record is from RNAcentral.
GAUGAACGCUGGCGGCGUGCCUAAUACAUGCAAGUCGAGCGAACAGACGAGGAGCUUGCUCCUCUGACGUUAGCGGCGGACGGGUGAGUAACACGUGGAUAACCUACCUAUAAGACUGGGAUAACUUCGGGAAACCGGAGCUAAUACCGGAUAAUAUAUUGAACCGCAUGGUUCAAUAGUGAAAGACGGUUUUGCUGUCACUUAUAGAUGGAUCCGCGCCGCAUUAGCUAGUUGGUAAGGUAACGGCUUACCAAGGCAACGAUGCGUAGCCGACCUGAGAGGGUGAUCGGCCACACUGGAACUGAGACACGGUCCAAACUCCUACGGGAGGCAGCAGUAGGGAAUCUUCCGCAAUGGGCGAAAGCCUGACGGAGCAACGCCGCGUGAGUGAUGAAGGUCUUCGGACCGUAAAACUCUGUUAUUAGGGAAGAACAAAUGUGUAAGUAACUAUGCACGUCUUGACGGUACCUAAUCAGAAAGCCACGGCUAACUACGUG